CAACUUCUAACGGUGGAUCUCUUGGCUCGUGCAUCGAUGAAGAACGCAGCCAGCUGCGAUAAGUAGUGUGAAUUGCAGAACUCAGCGAAUCAUCGAAUCUUUGAACGCAAAUGGCGCUCCCUGGUUCUCCAGGGAGCAUGUUUGUCUGAGCGUCAUGU
This 158-nucleotide ribosomal RNA is filed under the name Aurelia sp. 6 sensu Dawson et al. (2005). RNAcentral's name for it is "5.8S ribosomal RNA". It matches the Rfam family "5.8S ribosomal RNA". Rfam says of the family: 5.8S ribosomal RNA (5.8S rRNA) is a component of the large subunit of the eukaryotic ribosome. It is transcribed by RNA polymerase I as part of the 45S precursor that also contains 18S and 28S rRNA. The record is from RNAcentral. Lineage: Eukaryota; Metazoa; Cnidaria; Scyphozoa; Semaeostomeae; Ulmaridae. RNAcentral also lists the same sequence under 1 other name.